Molecule: ribosomal RNA, 244 nt
Filed under: uncultured bacterium
Lineage: Bacteria
Description: partial 16S ribosomal RNA
Rfam family: Bacterial small subunit ribosomal RNA
Source: RNAcentral
UACGUAGGGUGCGAGCGUUAAUCGGAAUUACUGGGCGUAAAGCGUGCGCAGGCGGUUUUGUAAGCCAGAUGUGAAAUCCCCGGGCUCAACCUGGAAUGGCAUUUGGGACUGCAAGGCUGGAGUACGGCAGAGGAGACUGGAAUUCCUGGUGUAGCAGUGAAAUGCGUAGAUAUCAGGAGGAAUACCGAUGGCGAAGGCAGGUCUCUGGGCUGAUACUGACGCUUAUGCACGUAAAGCGUGGGAG